Molecule: small nucleolar RNA, 86 nt
Organism: Juglans microcarpa x Juglans regia
Lineage: Eukaryota; Viridiplantae; Streptophyta; Magnoliopsida; Fagales; Juglandaceae
Source: RefSeq, a predicted model, not a curated record
UGCAAUCAAUGAUGCAAAAUUUUCAUUGUUUCUGACCUAUCUGUGAUGAUCAUGUAAAAUAUCACCAUCUUUCGGCUGAGAUUGCA